This 464-nucleotide ribosomal RNA is filed under the name uncultured bacterium. RNAcentral describes it as "partial 16S ribosomal RNA". It matches the Rfam family "Bacterial small subunit ribosomal RNA", at positions 29 to 507 of the family's 1533-position model. The record is from RNAcentral.
ACGCACGCUGGCGGCGUGCUUAACCCAUGCAAGUCGAACGGUAAGGCCCCUUCGGGGGUACACGAGUGGCGAACGGGUGAGUAACACGUGAGCAACCUGCCCUUGACUCUGGAAUAACAGUUGGAAACAGCUGCUAAUACUGGAUAUUCAUCGUCUCCUUCCUGGGGGGUGGUGGAAAGCUCCGGCGGUCAGGGAUGGGCUCGCGGCCUACCAGCUUGUUGGUGAGGUAAUGGCUCACCAAGGCUUCGACGGGUAGCCGGCCUGAGAGGGCGACCGGCCACACUGGGACUGAGAUACGGCCCAGACUCCUACGGGAGGCAGCAGUGGGGAAUAUUGCACAAUGGGCGCAAGCCUGAUGCAGCAACGCCGCGUGCGGGAUGACGGCCUUCGGGUUGUAAACCGCUUUCAGUAGGGACGAAGGGUGACUGACGGUACCUACAGAAGAAGGACCGGCUAACUACGUG